Molecule: long non-coding RNA, 176 nt
Organism: Telopea speciosissima
Lineage: Eukaryota; Viridiplantae; Streptophyta; Magnoliopsida; Proteales; Proteaceae
Exons: 3
Source: RefSeq, a predicted model, not a curated record
UCACAUAUUUUCAGCAUCAGACAUCACACCUCACAGGGACCUGCCAUUUAAGAUUAGAAAGUUAACAAUAUAGUAGGAUUAAAACUCAGGCAAGCCAGCAGAAAUCCCAUCAAUCUAGACUGUCCAGCUGAUUCCGUUAUUCCAAUCCGACGGUCGAAAAAUUGAUGAGCACGUAC